This 595-nucleotide unclassified non-coding RNA is filed under the name Hevea brasiliensis (rubber tree). Lineage: Eukaryota; Viridiplantae; Streptophyta; Magnoliopsida; Malpighiales; Euphorbiaceae. The record is from RNAcentral.
UAUGAAGUUUGAGACAUUGAAGGAGCAGCAUGCCAGAAGGAAUCCAGAGGAUUUAGAAAUUGACUAUGAGGACCAAUUCAUCUCAGAAGAUGAGGGUAUUGAGGAUGAAGUAGAUCAUGUCACAUAUGAUUCCGAUGCUACAGAAACAGAUGCUGUUACUGAAAAUGAUGAUUGGGAGGAAGAAGGUGAAGAAAGGACCCAUGCCGAUCUUGGUGGUGGUUGGGGAAGAAUUAUAUACAGUCCUCUACGUAGGGGUAAGCGGAUUGAAAUGGACGUUUGUCGAUCAAUAAAUCAAGAAGGCAGUGAAGGGUCAUUUGAACGGAUUGUUAUUACAAAGAGCAGAAACCCAACAUUGCAUCAUCAGGCGCGAAGAUCGCUUUGGGGUGACUUAUGGCCCUUCUAAAUUUUGUUAGAAAAAUGGCACUCAAGGUGUUUGGUCCAUCAGUAAGAGCGCAGUGUGAUGUCUGAGUUAGGCACUCAUCACAGAGUUCAAAUGUCGCAACAAACAAAAGCCUGGUAGGAGGGGCACGUCUAUAAUCCAUCAAGUCUCAAACUAUGCUUCACUUGCCCUCAGUUAUCAAAGAAAUUAUUUUUG